GACCAAGCUACAUAGGGCGCUUGGUGGAUGCCUAGGCGCAAGGAACCGACGAAGGGCGCAGCAGGCUGCGAUAAGCCACGGGGAGCCGCGAGCAGGCUUUGAUCCGUGGAUACCCGAAUGGGGAAACCCGGCGGGGGUAAUGCCCCGUCGCCCAUAACUGAAAGCCUUCGGGCUGUAGUAGGUUGUGGGCGGGCACCGAGGGAACUGAAACAUCUAAGUACCUCGAGGAGCAAAAAUCAAUUUAGAGAUUCCCUGAGUAGUGGCGAGCGAAAGGGGAAGAGCCCAAACCUGAUCCGUGUAAGGCCCAUACCGUUGCGGAUCGGGUGUUGUAGGACCCGAUAGACACCUUUGGGGGUGUCACACAGUUACAAAAUUGCCCGCUAGUCGAAAGGGCUGGAACGCCCUGCCAGAGACGGUGAGAGCCCGGUAGGCGAAAGCGGAGCGAUCUGUGAUCGGUGUUCCUGAGUACCACGGGACACGUGUAACCCUGUGGGAACCUGGGAGGCCCACUUCCCAAGGCUAAAUAUUCCUGGCGACCGAUAGUGAACUAGUACCGUGAGGGAAAGGCGAAAAGUACCCCGGAAGGGGAGUGAAAUAGAACCUGAAACUAAGCGCCUACAGACAGUCAGAGCGCUAUGCCGACCAGAGGCUUAGUUUUGUGAGGCGAGGUUCAGGCGUUAAUCUUCGGAUUAAUGCUUGCUCAGCAAAUCAUGAGGCUGGGUCUCAUUUUGGCGGAAUGCGUGAUGGCGUGCCUUUUGGAGAAUGAUCCGGCGAGUUACGCUGCACGGCAAGGCUAAGGGCCUCAGGUCCGGAGCCGUAGGGAAACCGAGUCUUAAUAGGGCGAACAGUCGUGCGGAGUAGACCCGAAACCAGGUGAGCUACCCGUGGCCAGGAUGAAGCGGAAGUAACAUUCCGUGAAGGUCCGAACCCACCAGAGUUGCAAUUCUGGGGGAUGAGUUGCGGGUAGAGGUGAAAUGCUAAACGAACCUGGAGAUAGCUGGUUCUCCCCGAAAUAGCUCUCGGGCUAGCGUCGAACUUGAAUGUCGUGGAGGUAGAGCACUGACUGAAUGCGGGUCCUAACGGAUACCAAUUUCUAUCAAACUCCGAAUUCCACGGCAUGCGUUCGGCAGUCAGACUGUGGGGGAUAAUCUCCAUAGUCAAGAGGGAAACAACCCAGAUCGCCGGCUAAGGUCCCUAAGUUCUUGCUAAGUGGGAAAGGAUGUGGGGUUGCAGAGACAGCCAGGAUGUUGGCUUAGAAGCAGCCAUCAUUGAAAGAGUGCGUAACUGCUCACUGGUUCAGGAACCCUGCGCCGAAAAUGUAACGGGGCUCAAGCAAGACACCGAAGCCGCGAAUUUGUAUCGCAAGAUGUGAAUGGUAGGGGAGCGUUGUACAGGCCGCGAAGGUCGAGCGUGAGCACGGCUGGAGCGUGUACAAGUGAGAAUGCCGGAAUGAGUAGCGUCAAUGCAGGUGAGAAUCCUGCACCCCGUAAGUCUAAGGUUUCCUGAGCAAGGUUACUCCGCUCAGGGUUAGUCGGUCCUAAGCCGAGGCCGAAAGGCGUAGGCGAUGGAUAACAGGUUUAUAUUCCUGUACCACCUGGUUUACGUUAUCAGCGAAGGGGGGACCCGGUACGGUAGGUUGAGCGUGCUUAUGGCUAUGCACGUCCAAACGUGUAGGAAGGCACCGCAGGUAAAUCCACGGUGCUAUUUCCGAGGCGUGAUGGGAAGCUCAAGGGCAACCGCGAGCAAUUCGAUUGAGCCGAACCGGCUAGAAAAGCCUCGUAGCGAGUAAACCUGGUGUCCGUACCGCAAACCGACACUGGUAGACGCCGGUGAGAACCGGAAGGGGAUCGGGACACGGUCUGCUAAGGAACUCGGCAAAUUAGCCCCGUAACUUCGGGAGAAGGGGUGCCUCGGUAGGGUGAUGAUGCCUCGCGCAUCUGAGCUCGAGGAGGUCGCAGUGCACAGGCUCAAUCGACUGUUUAUCAAAAACACAGGUCCCUGCGAAACCGUAAGGUGAUGUAUAGGGGCUGAUGCCUGCCCAGUGCCGGAAGGUUAAGGGGACGGGUUCACGCUCGGAACCGAAGCCCCGGUGAACGGCGGCCGUAACUCUAACGGUCCUAAGGUAGC
RNAcentral lists this ribosomal RNA (2127 nucleotides) under Chloroflexota bacterium. RNAcentral describes it as "bacterial LSU rRNA". It matches the Rfam family "Bacterial large subunit ribosomal RNA", at positions 1 to 1960 of the family's 2925-position model. The record is from RNAcentral. Lineage: Bacteria; Bacillati; Chloroflexota.